CCUACGGGAGGCAGCAGUGAGGAAUAUUGGUCAAUGGGCGCGAGCCUGAACCAGCCAAGUAGCGUGAAGGAUGACUGCCCUACGGGUUGUAAACUUCUUUUAUAAGGAAUAAAGUGAGGCACGUGGGCCUUUUUGUAUGUAAUUUAUGAAUAAGGAUCGGCCAACUCCGUGCCAGCAGCCGCGGUAAUACGGAGGAACCGAGCGUUAUCCGGAUUUAUUGGGUUUAAAGGGAGCGUAGAUGGGUUGGUAAGUCAGUUGUGAAAGUUUGCGGCUCAACCGUAAAAUUGCAAUUGAUACUGGCAGCCUUGAGUACAGUUGAGGUAGGCGGAAUUCGUGGUGUAGCGGUGAAAUGCUUAGAUAUCACGAAGAACUCCGAUGGCGAAGGCAGCUUACUAAACUGCAACUGACAUUGAUGCUCGAAAGUGUGGGUAUCAAACAGGAUUAGAUACCCUUGUAGUC
This 459-nucleotide ribosomal RNA is filed under the name uncultured bacterium. RNAcentral's name for it is "partial 16S ribosomal RNA". It matches the Rfam family "Bacterial small subunit ribosomal RNA", at positions 338 to 795 of the family's 1533-position model. The record is from RNAcentral.